GGAAAAAUCCACAACGCUGAGGUUGAAGAUAACAGAUCUACUGCAAAAUCCUUUCAAGACUUGAAAAAGGAGACAUUCCAAGAGCUCAAUUAGGCUGACAACUGCAAGAAUCAUCCAGGAAUGCAACGCAUGCAAGGAUCCUGCGGUGGGACAGUCUCCAUGCCAGCUGUCGACAAAAUGAGAGGAAUAAUAUUGUGAAACACCAGUUGGGACUAAAUCUGUUGAUGCCAAGGAAAAUACAGCAGAUCAGGGUCCUGGACAUAAGUGAGGACAACAGAGUGGAUUUAAUCUGCCUGAAUGAUUCAAACUGGGCUUGGAGCGUAUGACUGGCUGUCCGUGGGCAUGCACAUGUACAGUACGUGUAUAGGCGCCUGUGUUUAUCAUGUGUGAGCUUGUACUUUAAAGCUCAUCAGGGAGAAAGCAAUAGUUUCAGUAAUAGUUUCCAUCCACAGCUGGAAAUAAUAGAGAUUCCCAUCCAGGCACAGGCUGCACUGGAACCACCCUCCAAUGUUUCACAUGCAGCUGAAAGGGGGGGGGGGGGGGGGAUCCUUUUCUAUGGCCAUCCCAGGACUAAAUGAUACACAUGUUAUAUUAACCCCAAAUGGCCAUGUAGGUUUGGAUUUUUCUCUCUCCGUUAAU
Long non-coding RNA from Cyprinodon tularosa, 639 nucleotides. RefSeq lists it as uncharacterized. The transcript is spliced from 4 exons. The record is from RefSeq and is a predicted model, not a curated record. Lineage: Eukaryota; Metazoa; Chordata; Actinopteri; Cyprinodontiformes; Cyprinodontidae.